Bubalus bubalis (water buffalo) is the source of this 586-nucleotide long non-coding RNA. RefSeq lists it as uncharacterized. NCBI's taxonomy places the organism in Eukaryota, Metazoa, Chordata, Mammalia, Artiodactyla, Bovidae. The record is from RefSeq and is a predicted model, not a curated record. The transcript has 4 exons.
CUUGGAACAUAAGUCUAUCAUUUUCUCAGUUGGCCAGCUUUCAGAAUAAUCGCCAUUCCUUGCUCCGACAACUCGUGUCUCAAUUUAUUGCCCUGUCUUGCCACAAGACUACAAGCUUGAACUCGGUGGCACCUAGAGUGGCUUCUCUUGUUCCAGACUCAAGAGCUCAGGCUCAGUAGCUGCAGCACAUGGGCUUACUUUUUCCUGAGGCAUGUGGAGUCUUCCUGAAGCAAGGACCGAACCCGUAUCUCCUACAUUUGCAGGCAGAUUCUUAACCACUGGAUCACCACGACAUUCCCUGUUGUUGUUUUAAGCCACUAAGUUUUGGGGCUGCUUGUUACAAAGCAACUGAUGACUGACAAGGCAGGCUCCAAGACCAUGGCUCCAGGCUGGGGGCAAGCCCAGGGGAACGGCAUAGACUCAGUGCCUGCUUCAGGGCUGAGCAUGGACACCCACCGAAGAGAUAAUAAAAGAGAUAACCUCCUGAUUCUUAAAGAGUUCCAGAGUCCCUUAACUCCCAGCCAAGAAAGUCAAGGGCCAGACACUCAUUCAUCUCCAUUCCACAAACCAACCAAUAUUCACUGAG